Molecule: ribosomal RNA, 408 nt
Filed under: uncultured bacterium
Lineage: Bacteria
Description: partial 16S ribosomal RNA
Rfam family: Bacterial small subunit ribosomal RNA
Source: RNAcentral
GACGAACGCUGGCGGCGUGCUUAACACAUGCAAGUCGAACGAAGUGGCGAACGGGUGAGUAACGCGUAAUCAACCUGCCCUUCAGAGGGGGACAACAGUUGGAAACGACUGCUAAUACCGCAUACUGAAGGAGGGGAUGGCGGCUGAUUAGCUAGUUGGAGGGGUAACGGCCCACCAGGGCGAUGAUCAGUAGCAGGUCUGAGAGGAGUAACGGCAAGAUUGGGACUGGGACACGGCCCAUACUUCUACGGGAAGCAGCAGUGGGGAAUCUUCCGCUAUGGGCGAAAGUCUGACGGAGCAACGCCGAGUGAGUGAUGACGGCCUUCGGGGUGUAAAGCUCUGUUAAGCGUGACGCGGUUCCGGAAUAGGAAGCCAAGGCUAACUACGUGCCAGCAGCCGCGGUAAUAC